UCUACGGGAGGCUGCAGUGAGGAAUAUUGGUCAAUGGGCGCGAGCCUGAACCAGCCAAGUCGCGUGAGGGAUGAAGGUUCUAUGGAUCGUAAACCUCUUUUAUAAGGGAAUAAAGUGUGGGACGUGUCCUAUUUUGUAUGUACCUUAUGAAUAAGGAUCGGCUAACUCCGUGCCAGCAGCCGCGGUAAUACGGAGGAUGCGAGCGUUAUCCGGAUUUAUUGGGUUUAAAGGGUUCGCAGGCGGAGGCACAAGUCAGCGGUAAAAUCGCGGGGCUCAACCCCGCUGCGCCGUUGAAACUGGGGCCCGUGAGUGGGCGAAGGGUAGGCGGAAGGCGUGGUGUAGCGGUGGAAUGGAUAG
Molecule: ribosomal RNA, 357 nt
Filed under: uncultured bacterium
Lineage: Bacteria
Description: partial 16S ribosomal RNA
Rfam family: Bacterial small subunit ribosomal RNA
Source: RNAcentral